AAAAAUUCGUGUCAAAAUAUCAUUUUCCAAAUUUGUAAUUGAUUACUAAGAGUGUAAACAAAAAAACUCUAUGGUAAUCGAUUAUACAGGUUAUAAUCUAUUUAUUUUUUGAAAUUAUUGUUUAUUUUUCAGGUAUGGACUAUUGGGGAAGAAGUUUAAGGAUACAUUCGGACAUGUUGGUGGGUCCAUCUUGGGAGGAUUUGUUGGUAUGAAGAAGCCAGAAAACCAUGGUGUCACCUACUCUUUAACAGAAGAAUUUACGAGUGUCUACAGAAUGCACCCUCUCCUACCUGAUAACCUGCAUCUGAGAGACAUAUCUGCAACUCCUGGGCCAAACAAAUCUCCACCAGUAAUCAAAGAGUACGAUAAUAAAAUCUUACCUAAACCUUUCUUUUCCCAAACUCAUUACUACAUCUGUUUCUAUUUAUAAUUUAUAAAAAUACUUAAACUAAUUCAUACCACUUAACUUGAUAUUGAAUUCUUCAAUAACUUAUAUUGUUUUUAAGAAUUGUUCUUACUUUUUAGAUUGAUAUAUAAAGUUAGAUUAUCUCAAUAAUUUGAAGCAUUUUUCAUUAUCUUUUACCAAAAUUUCUCUUUCCAUUCGGUAUUGUAGAAUCCCUAUGAAAAACUUGAUUGGACUACCAGGAGAGAAGACAUUAUCAGAAAUAGGAGUCGCAAGACAACUUGUGUCAAUGGGUCACCAAGCUUGUGGGGCAUUAGAGCUUUGGAAUUAUCCAGAGUGGCUAAGAGACCUUGUACCACAGAACAUGGAUGGCACAGAAAGGUCUGAACAUGUGGACCUGGCUGCUCUUGAAAGUAAGAUAUAUACAUACAUAUAUAUGUAAAAGUUUAUGUAUAGUUUUAAUAUUAAGAUAUAUCCUAUAUCUAGUUAUUAACCCUAAAAUUAUGAUGCAGUUUACAGGGAUAGGGAAAGGAAUGUGGCUAGAUACAACCAGUUUAGGAGGUCAUUACUGUUAAUACCUAUCUCAAAGUGGGAAGAUCUAACUGAUGAUAAGGAAGCAAUUAAAGUAUUGGAAGAAGUAUAUGGAGAUGAUGUUGAAGAGCUUGAUCUACUUGUAGGUCUCAUGGCAGAGAAGAAAAUAAAGGGUUUUGCAAUCAGUGAGACAGCUUUUGUGAUAUUCCUCCUCAUGGCAAGCAGGUAAAAGGAAUAACAUUAAAAUACCAAUAUUCUAAAGGAUUCAUUGUGUGUUUUUGGACAUUGUUUUGUGAAGUGAUUUUGAAAGGGAAUGAAUGAAACUGUUUUUGUGGAAUUGCAGGAGGCUGGAAGCUGAUAGGUUCUUCACAAGCAACUAUAAUGAAGAAACAUACACUAAAAAGGGACUUGAAUGGGUGAACACAACUGAGAGUUUGAAAGAUGUGAUUGAUCGUCACUAUCCUGAAAUGACACACAAAUGGUUGAACUCUUCUAGUGCUUUCUCUGUUUGGGAUUCACUUCCAAACUCACCCAAUCAUGUUCCUCUUUACCUUCGUGUUCCUCAUUAAUAUGUAAUUUCGAUAUUUAUGUGUUUUAUUUGGAUCUAUCUUUUGUUAAGUUUGAAUUAAUAUGCAUAUUUGUAUCUUGUAAAACACUAUGUUUCGACCAAUAUGUAUUCAGUGUACUGCGAAGAAGAAGAAUGCGAGAGAAGAGGGUCUGUGAAGAAGGAAAUGAACAGUGUAGGUUAAAACUAAAAUGCUCAGAGAAAACCUCGGUUUAUCAAAUAAGUGAUAGAAUCUCGGUUCAUCCAAAAACCAUAUCCUUCUCCAUUUUUCUAACAUAUGUUAAGAAUAAUAUAAUCAUCAAUGAGAUUAAUAAAUGCUAAAAAUAAUAUAAUUAAUAACUUAUACUGUGAGGAUUUUAAGAUUUUCUGAUACUGGGUGGUUCAACAUUGACAUAAAUUGCUCAUGUUGUAUGUUACUCAGAUAAAUAUUUUAUAAACUUAAUUAUACAUUUUAUUGCGUAAUUAUUAUUAUUAUUAUUAUUAUUGUAAUAUUAUGGUUUAUUAUUUUUAUAUUUUAUCUAAAUUGUGAACAUUUCCACAUUUUAAACAUCUGUUGAUUUUAACUAAUAAUAUGUAUCAUAAAAGAAGUUAAAAGUAAAAUUGAAUUACUUUUUAAAAUUAUGUCAUUUUGAUUUUUUUCAUAUAUUUUUAUGAAAUAUCAGCGCUUCAUUGAAAAAUUUAAUGAAUGAAAAUAAAAUAAAAAAUAAAAAAAAAAUCAUAAAAAAGUUUAGAGAUAAAAAUAAUUUAAGAUUUAACGGUAUAAAAGUGAAAUAUAGUGUAGAUGUCCAUUCAAUUAUUUUUGAGAAAUUAAGAUAGUGUUUGAAUUGGAGAGUGAAUAUGAGAGAUGUUGAAUGAAUGAAUUUGAGAAAAUGAAAAGAAAAUUGUGGUAUUGUUUGGAUUAAGAAAUUUAAAAGAAUUGAUAAAGGGAUUGGAAAGAAAAGUUUACGAAUAAUAUGAUGAAUAUGAUAGAUUAAAAAGAUGUUUUAAUUGAUAAAAGUAAAUGAUUAUCAAUUUAUCUUUGGUGUAGAAAUGUGAUAUAAAUUUAAAUAUAAGUAGUAGUAAUUAUAUUAAAACGAAAUUGAAUUUAUUAUUUAUAAUAAGAAAAUUAAAAUUAAAAAAUUAUUAUUAUUAAAAAUUAAUGGAAUAGAAUAAAAAACCGGACAAAAUAAAAACUAUAUAAAUAAUACAAUAAAAAAAACAGUAAUUUAGUGAAAUGAAGGGAGCGAGAAUCGAUUCUUCACACAAAGGGAAUCCUUAUUAGCCCCCAAAAUCAGGGCCGGGUUAGGCUAACCAAAUCUAACACAUUCUUUCGCAUAAUCACCAAACGCCCUUUUAUCUUCUGACCCUUGCCUCCCAGGAUUCCGAACAUCUUGCCUGAUUCUUACUUUUAACAAACACUCUUCUUUUUCUCUCUCUGUGGAUAACAGCAACCAACAUGCUCCUAUUUAAACGACAACCUCAACUAUUAAAUCUAACUAUUCACUGCGUUUUUCUUUACUAAAUACUUUUUACAUUCUUUAUCUUACAUAUUUUAUUUUACUUUUUCACCACAACCCUUUGACACUGCAUUUAAUAUCUGUUUUGUCUUCUUCUGUUUGUCUAUAUAGUGUUACACGAACAGUGCUCCAUUUAUUUCAUUCUUCCAGUUUCUUUCCUUACAUCUUUAAAUAUUUAAAAAAUAAUAAUAUUUUGAGAAUAUCUUAACAUUAUAAAUAUAGAUAUGUAUUAUUAUGUAAUGGGUUAAAUAUGUUUUUCGUUCUCCAACUAUUGGUCGUUUUUGUGUUUAGUCCCUCUUUCAAAGUAUAGUACAAUUUAGUCCUUCAAUUUUAGAAAACUCUGGUAUUAGUCAUUUUUACCAAAUUUUUUAACUUUAUUUACUGUUUCAAACGCAUUUCUCAGUUAAUAUUGAAGCAAAAAUGUGUUAAAAUGUGUAAACAAUCCAAAUGCUAUAAUAUAACGUGCUUGAAACAGCAAAUAAAGUUUAAAAAAUUUGGUAAAAAAAGACUAAAACUAUAGUUUUCUAAAGUUGAAGGACUAAAUUAUAUUAUACUUUGAAAGAAGGACUAAACACAAAAAUGGCUAAUAGUUGGGGGACGAAAAACAUAUUUAACCCUUAUGUAAUUGAUUUAUAUUAGUGUUUAUAAUUAUUAAAAUGUUAUAAAAAAGAAUGAAACAAUCAUUAUCAUAUUUAAAACUAUUUUUUUUCACUCUUUCAUGGCUGGAUGCACUAUACUGGAAUUUCUCUCAUUAACUAUUUUUUUUAGUUUCUAAAAUAUCUAGCCAUAAAAAUAGAAAGCCUUUUUAUUGUAUAAUUGUAAUUAGAAUUUUUUAAUAAAAAUUAAAAUAUUUUUAUUUUUCAAUUUAAUAAAAAGUAUGAAGUAUUUCUAAUUACAUAAUUAUGACAUAAUAAAAGUUAAAAAAAAUUAUAAUUAUCUUUUAUUUAUACUGCUUUUAAUAACUUUGAUAUCAUUUUUGUAAUAUCUUCUGUAUAUUUGUGCUAUUUUAGUUAUUGUAAUAUUAAGUGAAGAGACAAUUAUUAGUCGAAUAAUACUGAGAAUGGACCAUCUUUUAUGCAGCAAAAAAAGAACGUGCGUGUUUUGAAAAAGUAUUCAAGCAGUUUUAUUUUAUAUAAAUAAAAUAAAAAUAAACAUAAAGUAACAUCCUGUUCCAUUUAAAUAGAAUAAAAUUAUUAAAACAAAAUGUUACAUAUAUCAUAAUAAAAUAAUUAGAUAAAAACAAACAUACCACGAAAGAAAGAUUUAUGUAAAAUCAUUUAAUUACAUAUUUAGUUUUUUUUAAAAAUGAUGAUGUGAGUUUUUUUUAAAAAAGAAAGCCCAUGGGUUGACUCUGACCCACAGGCUUUGGAGCUUUUUAGUCCUGGGGGCUUUUUUAAUAAAGGGUUUUUUUUGGUUCUGUGGACUUUUUUGGUCCUAACCCACAUGGGCUAGGGCCAAGGCCUAUUAUAGGAGCCUAUUUGACAGGUCUACCUAUGAUGUUAUAUAUCAGGAUGACAACGGGUCGGGUCGAGUAUAAUCUGACUCGACAAAAAAACAUUCAUUUGUUACUCGAUCUAUUACUCGCACGUAUAUUUGCUUAAAAAUUAUCUGCGAGUAUUUUAAAAUCUGCAGAUAUCCGUUGAUAUUCGCAAAUAUUUUAAAAAUUAUUUUUUUAUUAAUUAUUAAAAUAAAAUUUAAAUAAAAUUACAAAAAAUAUAUAAUAUAAAUUUAAAUUUAAAUUUUAAUUAAAUUUAAUUAUAAAAUAUAAAUUAAUGUUAAUUUUGAUUAAAUUUAACCUAAUAAAGUAUAAAUUAAAUUUUUAUUUUUAUUUUUUGUAGGUAGCGGAUAUCUGCAGGUAUAUAUAGUAUAAUAUCCACACUCGACUCGUUUAUAAAUGGAUAUUAAAAUAUUCGCUAUCUGCAAUCUGCAGAUAGUAAAUAUUCGCGGAUACCAACUCUCCGUUGCGGAUUUUAUCUGGAGAUAUCUGCUAGGGCAGAUUUUUUUUGUCAUCUCUAAUUGCAUGUGCACUGAACAGGUGAAGGGUAAUUUCGUUUUUUGUACAUUCCUACUUAUCUCCCUAUCAAUGUGAGAAUGCAAAUAAGAAAAGACAAUGAGUUGUUAAAAUUAGGAUACCAUCAGCUGAAACAAACAACUAUAUACUCACAAAUCAAUCCAUUUACAUAUAUAGUACAUAUGUGGAAACUAAUACAUCCUAAGAAAAGACAACACCCCCUAAGAAAAGGCAAUGUAAUGAGUUGUCAAAAUAAUAAAGAAUUCAUAUAAGUAAAUUUUUAUACAUUAUUUUAUGUAUAAAUUAAUUUUAAUUCAAAAUAAAAUAAUUUUUGUUUAAUAUAAGAAAAUCUUCUAAAAUUAAAAUAGAAAAUUUGAGUGACUAACUUUAACAAAAACCCAACAUAAAUUCAUUGUGAAUACAAAUAAUAACAUCCAAAUUUUUAAUAUUCCUAAUACUAUUAUAAGAAUCAUCAUAUAUUUAAUAGAAUAGUUAAAAAGAAACUGAUACAAUUAUCCAAAUAAUAAAAUAUAUAUAAGAUAGGAAAGUCUAACACAUUUUUUUACACUUAAGAACUAAAGUGCAACAUGAAAUUUGUUAAAAGAGCAUAUAUACAUACAUAUAUUUUCAUAUAAAUAUGUAUAAAUCUAACUAAAAUAAAAUUCUAAUAUAAUCAUAUAUUCUAUCUCUAUCUUCCAAAGCCUGAUCAAAAGAAAGUUCUUCGUUUGCUCACAUAAUAAAAAUAUCAUUGCAAAUAGAAGAACAAACAAACAUAUAAUUAGCAGAAAGCAAAUGGUAGGCUAAUUUUAUCAAAGAAUACACAUAUGAUUAUUUACAAACAAUUUAUAAUUAAUCAUAAAUAACUAACAAUUCAUAAACAUCAAAUUAUUUACUCUAUACUUGAUCAUCCAAAUACAAGUAUUGAUACCGAACUCUAGGGGCCUUGCACUUGAAGAUGGUGCAACAACUCAUUCACACCAACUACCACACUCUGAGGUUAAUCUAUAAAAUAUUUAUGCCAAAUAAAUGACCAUCAGACUAAGGACAUCAUGUUACUCUUCACGACAUAACUACCCUUCUUUACUUUAGAUUAUAAGUUAUUAAGAGUAUCAGAUUAACCCAUAAUACCGAGCAUCAUAUAUCAAUACAUACACAAUACAAAAUCAUCUUAAGGAUUUCUCCUUGAAACUCUUAUAGCAUCAUAUACAAUUUCACACUCACGAACCAAUCUCAUACAAAAUUUAAAUCAAAUCCAUAUGUAUCUAAGAUACUUGAUCUAUAUGCAUUCAGUACUUAUCCAAAUGAUCAAAUCAAUUAAUAUUAUUGACACAAUAAUUGAUUUGAAAAUAGGUUUAUAACUCAGAGUGAGUGCCAAUUUGCUCACUUGUCUAGGAAUUUAUUUAUCUAAUCAAACCAACUAUCCUUAAAUGCAACCAACAAAUUUCAUGUGCUAUGAACCAAAUUUUAGUGAACUAAGUGGCUAACUAAGUCCUAAUUGACAUGAAUACAGAUUCCAAACACUUGGUUCCCUCACAAAACAACUGCUUUAGAAUAUUACUUAUCCAAACCUCUAUUUUUCACUAGAAACAGUCAUUACUCUAACCUAUUGUCAAACCAAAGUUCAACAGCUAAUUGAUUCACUAAAUCAUCAAGAAUCAAGCACAAUUCAGCAAGCAUUUCACACUAAGAAUUCAUUAUAUCAACUACCAAUUUCAAUAUGUCGCAUAAUACACUAUCAUAGAACUUAAAGCAGAUGCCCAUAACUGAUUUCAUAUAACUCUACCAUACCAAAACAAAUUAUCAAACCACUUAAAGCUUUAGAAAACGCAUUUAGCUUCGCUUACCUGUGAGAAGUUUAGCUAGCUUAAAAGGUCUAAAUAACUUUUUCCACUCAAGUAACUCUAUUUGUACCUACAAACCACAAAAACAUGAUUAAAGUACGUGGUUAGAACUACUAAUUAAUAAAGGACCUAAUAGAAGACUCAAGUUAUACAUGCGACAGGGUCAUAUUACAUGCAUUGAAAAGUACAGAAAACAGAGGAAAAGAGUAUAAAUUAACUUACUUUUUCAUUAGAAAUUGAUUGGUUGUAAAGGAAGAUCUUGUUGCCAUGAUCAUGAAGGCACUUCCCGAUCUUUGAACAUAUGGUUCAAUAAUUAGAACUCUUAGAAAGAAGGAAAAAAUACUCAAAAAAUGAUUUCUAAAGAGAUGAUAAGUGUUUUAAGUAAUAAGACUCUUUAAUAAAUUUCUAUUUAUACUCUUUUUAAUAUUAAAAUAACAUUAUCUCAUUAUUUAAAAUAUUUUAUCAACUCUUAAAAAUUUAUUUUUUUUUAAAUUUUUACAAAUUUUACUUAUUUGUUUUAUUUGAGUCUCUUAAAAGAAAUUAGGGUUAGUUUUAUUCUUUUAGUUUCAAAAUUUUGAAAUGUUUUAUAUAUGUAUUUUUGUUUAAUAUCUAGAAACGUUUGUGGUCAGUUUUAUUUCCAUGAUAAGAAAAUAUGGUUGCUUCAUUCAUAAUUGUACUAUUUUUGUUUCACUAGUAAAAAAUAGGGUUUAUACAGCGUACAUUAUGCCACGGUUUACCAGAAAUCGCAACAUAAUUGUGCGCGGUGGCAGUUUUGUAAAUAAAUCCAACUUAUAUGCCGCGGUUAUAUACCCCAGGUCAACUAUCAAUUUUGACGCCACGUCAGGAAAAAAUUAAAUAACAAGAGAGUAUGUCGUGGUUCUCUGAGGAACGCGGCAUAUUCCCACUGCCACCUACUGACAUUCCCCAUCAGUCAGCCCCUACAAUAAAUUGGCAGGGGAAUAGGUCGCGGUUCUCUGGGUAACCGCGGCCUAUUCCCCUGCCAAUUUAUUGCAGGGGCUGACUGAAGGGGAAUGUCAAUAGGUGACAGUGGGAAUAUGCCACGGUUCCUCAGAGAACCGCGACCUAUUCCUCUGCCACCUACUGACAUUCCCCAAAAGGCAGUUGGGAAGACAGUUGAGUAUUCAGAACGUUAGGGAAUAGGUCGUAGUUCUCAGAGCAACCGCGGCAUAUUCCCUGAUCUGAAAAAAUUUGAAAUAUUUAAGGGUAUAUGUUGUGGUUGCCCGCUGAACCGCGGCAUAUAGUUUCAAAAAUAAUUUCGAAAAUGCCAUUUAUAUUAUUUUUUUAAGGAGUAUAUGAUGCGGUUAAGUUGUGAACCGCGACAUAUUCCCCUUUGUAGGUUGAAAAAUACAAAACACUGAACAGUUUCAUCUUCUCCACGCGUUUUUCUGAAGCUUUCUCUCUGCUUUCUCCUCUGCCUCUACGCGAUUACGCUGCUGCCGCGCCAACUCCGUCUCAAAACAUCUCUGCCGCCGCGCCAUCCCGACCGUCUGUCGCGCCCUCUGCCUUCGUGCCCUCUACCGUCGCGCCAGCCUCUGUCGCCGCGUCAUUCUCUCCGUCGCGCCAUCUCUGCUUCCCCGGGUACAUUCCAUUUUCUUCUCUGAUUAAAUUUUUGUGUUAUAUUGAAAUGCUAGGUUUGAAUAUAUUGUUUUUGUGGCUUUGAUCGUUUUUGUCAAAUUUGUUGUGGUUAUCAUUUCCUUUCCAUUCUCUCAUAUUUCUCAUUUUCGUUCUUUCUCCAUUUUUGUUCUCCUUCCAUUUUCAUUCUUCUUCCAUCAACAAGUAAGGUGUUUCCUUAGUCCAAGAUUUGGGCCUUUCAUAGUGUCAAGGUUGGUAGCACCAUGAAGAGAAAUUGCGAAGAGAACAAGUGUCUCGUUCUCGCUUCUCUCUGUCGACAUUUUGCCCUUUCUUCCUCUCUCUCUCUCUCUUUUCGUUCGCGCUAUUUUCCCCUUCUCUCUCACGAUUUGUCCUUGUUUUCUCAUCCAUCCAUUACGAGUUCGACCAUAUAUUUGAAACCUUUAUUUGGUUAUGGGUGCUUGGUACAAAAAUUGAUUCUGUAAGCGACCUUGAUAGGCUUCGGUGUUGGUGCCUAACAAAAGAUCCACUUUAAUUGAUUGAGUGUUGCUGCCUAAAAAAAAGAAUCACAUCACACCUUAAUUAUACUACUAUUUUACCUUGAAUUAUGGUCAGUUUAUAAAGAAAUAAAAAAAAAGUAGAAUAAAAUAUGAAACAUGAAACAAUAAAUGGAAAGUAAAACAUUUAGGAAGAUUAGAAAAAUGUUGUUUUGGGAAAUUAACCGCAUAUACUAAAGUGGUCUAAAAAUUACGAGUUAGUAGUCAUUUGAAACAUCUUCUGUAGGUCCAAAAAUCACAAAUUAGUAGUCAUUAGAAAGAGUUGAGUUUAUUUUCUAAUAAAAAAAGAAUCACAUCAUUUGUAGGUCUGGUGAGUGACGUCUCCACAACUGGAUCCUGUAGUAGAAGUUUGUGUACAAAACCCAAAUUUGUUGUGCGUAAUCCAUUUGUGUCAUCACCAAGUUUGGUGAAGUCCUAAAACAAGUGUUGGCCAUUCAAGCCCUUGUAAUCGAUUAGAGUGUCCCUAUAAUCGAUUGCGCACAACAAAUUUGGGUUUUGUACACAAACUUUUACUGCAGGACCCAACUAUGGAGACGUCACUCACCAGAAGCAAUUUAAGUAAUUUUUUUUUCACAAAUCUUUAAUGGGUGACACUUCUUUUUUGUAUUUAAGUGUCAGUAGGGCUUGAAAACAGAGGUUUGGGCAGUCCAUGGUGGUGGAAAGACCCAAUAUUAACUACAAAAAAGAAGGGCAUUACCGACAACCAAAAUCCCUCGAAAAACAGCCAAAAGCCGGUAAAUCUUUCGGUAUUUUACUACUCUACGGGCCUUUGGUAAAUUCUUCAGAAAACGUAACUUACCAACGGCUUAAAGACCUUUGGUAAAAGCCCGUUGGUAAUUUGCGCGUUUACUGUAGUGGCUGGUGUCAUCACCAAGUUUGAUGAAGUCCUUAAACAAGUGUAGUCCAUACAGAUCCUUGUAAUCGAUUACAAUGUCCCUUUAAACAAUUAUGCGCAACAAGUUUGGUGCAUUUACGCUUCUGUCCUUUAUUUUUCCUAAUAAUUUCUUAUUAUUGUUUUUUUCUUACCAGUAUACUUUCAAAUUAUAUAAAAAUAUGCUAAAAAUAUUUUUAAUAUAAAUUAGUAUAAAUUUUCGCGUUUAUUCAUCUAAUACACCUCUUUUAUAGGAUAAUAAUAAUAAUCGUGAUGACACGUAUUUAAAUUUGAUUGGCUGCAUAUUGAUAACAUUAUCUAUAUAAUACAUUACUGAAUUUGAUUGGCUGCAUAUUGAUAACAUUAUCUAUAUAACACUUUUGUACAAUUAAAGAAAAACUAAACAUGUCUCUAUCGAAACUUGAUUACUUUCAACUAUUCAAUAAUGAAUCGUCGAACACCUAUGUUUAUAAUCAAUGACUCAAUGAACUAUUGGAACGAUUUCAUGGGAAUUUUUCUUAAAUUUCGAAGAUCAAUAAAUCUUUAUUUUAAUUAAAAAUGAUUUACUUAAUUUAAAUUAAAAAUUAUUUAAAAAACAUAAUUAAUGUUAAUUUUUAUAUUAAUGUGAUUUAAUAAGUAAGUCAACAAAUAAAAAUAAUUUUAAUAAUCGACAAAUAAUUAUAAUGAAUUUUAAUCUAAAACUAAUCUUGUUUAUAUCAAUUUAAAAGCAGAGUUGAGUCAAUCAUAUCUUUCUUGAGGUCGAGAAAAAAAGAAGAAGAAAGAGUAUGUAAAAUUUAAAUUUUUUUACUCUUAUAAAUUCUUAUAGUUUUUAUUUUUUUGAAAUUAUUUAUUCAACUUAUAAAAUAUUUUUAAUUUUCUGUAAAAAUAAAUUAUUCUAUAAAGUUUUCUUAUGCAAACAUUAUUGGGAUUUCAUUUUGUUUUAACAAAAACUUUUUUUAUUAUUUUAUCAAGAAAAAUUCAUAAACACCUGAUAUAUAUUUAAAAGUAAAACAAUAAUUAUAUAUUUAUCAUAUACGUAUAUGAUGAAAAAGUAUAUUUUAAAAAAUAUAUAUGUACAGUAAAUAUGUUCUUAUAUUAUUUUACUUCAUCAAAUCUUAUAUGAGUUCAAAAGUCAUAAGUUAUUAGUUUAUUAUAUUGAGUGAAUUAUUCAAUGAAUAUAAUUAGAGUAUAUAUGAUAUCUCUCUAUACUAUCUCGAUUUCAUGUUAUGAGUUUUUGCUGGAUUAGGAUGAGGAUGAUUCUUAUGUUCAAAUGAGAUUUUUUUUUUUUUUUCUAGAGGUCAAGUAAUUCAAUUAUGAAGUAUGUGUUUUUACUUAGAAAUUAAACCUCUAUUUAUAGAGUUUAAGAGAAUCUGAUCAAUUAAUUUACCUCUUAAUGAUUAUUAAUAUUAAUCUUAAUCAUUCAUCAAUAACAGUUAUCACUAGGGGUGGGCAAAUCGAACUGAACUGUACUGCACUGCUAAAAACUGAACUGAACUAUAAAACAGUUCAAACAAACUGAACUGAACUGUAAAACAGUUCAGACAAACUGAACUGAACUAUAUUUUGUUUUUCAAACUGAACCGUACUGAACUGUACUGUACUGCAAUAUGAACUGAACUAUUAACUGAACUGUAAACUGCACUAACUGAACUGUAAACUGCACUGACUGAACUAUUAACUGAACUGUAAACUGAACUAAACUAUUAACUGAAUUGUAAAUUACACUAACUGAACUAUUAACUAAAUUGUAAACUACACUAAUUUUAACUAAACUACAAUAUAAACUGAAAUGAACUAGUACUAUACUAAUUUUAAACUGAAUUGUCCUAAUUUUUAAACUAAAUAGUAUAACAAUACAUGUUCUUUUCUUUUUAAUUGAAAAUUAUUUUAAUAUUUAUUUUAUUUUAUUCAUAAAUGUCUAAUAANNNNNNNNNNNNNNNNNNNNNNNNNNNNNNNNNNNNNNNNNNNNNNNNNNAUUUUUAUUGAUAAAAAUAUAAAUUUUGUGAUAAAAAAGUUGUUUUAAAAAAUUAAUUAUUAUUUUUGAUGUGAACGGUUAUUUUUAUUAAUAUUUUAUUAUUAAAUAAAGUUUUUUUGACAAGAUGAAACAAUUGAACUGAAAUUAGAGAAGAUGUAAGAGUAGAUACAGUUCUCACACUUAACUGAACUGUAACUGUUAUCAGUUCAGUUUUUAAAAACUGAACCAUAAAAUAGUAUACUGAACUGUUACUAGAAAUGGAUCAGUUAUUUUUAGUACAAUAUAGUACAGUUAACUGCAGUACAGUACAGAUCUGUUAUUUUUGCCCAGCCCUAGUUAUCACAUUGAUUGCACUAUAAUUCUACUCAACUAUUGUCGUGUGACUGACUCGCUGUGGAACUCUUUUUCACACCUCGACCGUUUGGUCCAUUCAACUCAACGCAAGGUCAUGUUUGAUCGGUCGGGUAGAACCCUACAGUAACAGUAUGUAUUCUAACCAAAUUUUGGUUAGAGUUGUUUUCUAAAAUUAUGUCUUUAAAUGGUAAAACGAAAUACUAUAUGUAUAAAAUAAACUAAUUCCACUCAUGAAUUAGUUUUUCUUCGUAUAAUUUGUACCAAAAGUCUCUUGUUUUAUUCUCUUUUUUUCAAUAUCAAUUAUAACUAUAAACUUACGUGCAUAAAAUAAUUUCACUUUCCCAUUAAUUAUAACAUAGACAAAGUUGAAUUAAUGAGUCAAUCAUACGUCUCUCUAUCUAAAAUCUUAGGUCAAUGAAUUAAUGGGUCUUUCACCUUUAUAUAUUGUUCUACUUCCUCAUUUUUAUCUAAUGUGAGACUUAAACUCAUACUUGGAUUUCCAACCAUAUGUAUGUAUAUAUACAUAAACACACACAAUUGUACUAGAAAGAUAACUUCUUUAUAAAAGGUGCUUGUUGGUUAUUUUUUGUGUACCUUAGUUAUCAUCUUUACUUUUUUUUCAUUAAGUAAACAUAAAUUUUUUAGUAAACCAAAAUAAAUAUAAAUGUCAUUUUUACAUAAAAUAGGAAACUAACUUAUGAUAUUGGAUUGAAUUAUAUUUUGGUGAAAAGUGAUAAUUAAUUCUAUUGAAACCUUGUGAAUUUAAUAUUUCUUUCCAACAUAACCUAUUUCAGAUAUAAAAUGAAAUUAAUCACUUAUAAAAAAAAAUACUGAUAUAUGUUUUCUCGUUGGCGCAAGUAUAUUUCUCGGAAAAAAUUAUAUUAAAACACUCCCGGGUGAGAAAAAAUUGAUAAAAAUUUCAUCAAACAAUCAUUAUUGCUAAUGCAACUAUGAUCUUUGCUAAUCUAAUCAACGACUAAUUAAAACCCCACUAAUCUUUAUCAUGUGUUUUUUUUUGUCGGGCAAUUUGUUCAUGUAAAAUUAAAUUAUAAACAUAACCUUAUUAAUUUGAAGUGGUGUACGUUGCCAUCGAAUAAAUGGAUAAAAUACGGCCAACUACUCCUUAUUUUCCUCGUGGUUUUAAAAAAACAAAAUUAUAAAUAUAGUUCAUAUGUUAUUUUCAUUUGUUUUAUUUUUUAUAUAAAAAUACAUUUUAUUCAUUAGUUUCUCUGUUAGCGUAGGGUUUUUGUUGACCAUAAAGAAUUAAAUCGAAAACGAUUUGUCAAAUAAAAAUAAGGUUUAAACCUCUUUUUGGUCCCUAAGUUAUGAGUGAAUGUUCAGUUUAGUUCCCGCUUUUAAAAAUGUAAGUCUUUGGUUCUUAAGUUAUAAAAAAUGUAUCAAAUGAGUCCUUUUUUGAUGUUCAUGGUCAAAGUACAAAAAGUAAUCUAAAGUGCUGUUAUUAUUAAGAAACAAAUCAGAGCAAUAUAAAGAUGUAGCAGUUGUUAAGAAACAACCAAAAACAGUAUUUUAAGUCAAAAAAAGAAUCAUUUGAUACAUUUUCUAUAACUUAGGGAUUAAAGAUUUACAUUUUUAAAAAUGGAGACUAAACUGAACAUCCGCUUAUAACUUAGGAACCAAAAAGAGGUUUAAACCUAAAAAUAAAGACCAAAAUGUUAGAAUUUUCUUAUGCAGCCAUUAAAAUGAGAAGUAAACAGAAGAAAAGUGGCACUAAAUAAUAUAUGACCAAAAUGUAAAUGUCUUGGAACUUUUCAAAAGUAAGAAUAAAGACAUAAUUUAUUUUUUCGUGCACGAAUUAAUAAAAGAUUGGAGUAUUUGUUUGAUAAAAAGAAUAAAUGAAAAUGGCAUUAAUGCAAGCAUUACUUUUUUCGUUUAACCAUUUUUAACAAUUAUGUUCAUUUACCAUAAAAGAGAGAAAAAGAAAUGAGAGGAAAUAAAAAAGAAAUGAAAGACAAAGAUGGUAUGUAAGUAAUCAUAAUUAUUUUUUGUUACAUGACAACCUUUUGGAACAUUUUCCACACAAAAAGACAAGCAGAUAGUUGUUUUUCCAUGUUAGGGUUUUGAAUAAUGCAAAAUUGAAAGCAAAAUUUCUAAGCCAAGGGCUAUAAAUACAAAUGCAAACUUACAAAAAUAUACACAUUCAUAUAUCAAACUCAUCAAUUAUAUCUUCGUUUUAGCAAACAUGUGGUCUGUGAUAACGGAUCCCAUCAGAAACCUUUUUGCAAAUGUUGUUCACCAGUUCAUCCACAAAGACUUCCAUGAAGCAGUGGCCAAAAUGACCAUAAUAGAUGCUUUUCUCUUCAUUGUAUACACACAAUUCCUUCUACAUCAUAUUAUCAUAACAUGAAUAGUUGUUAUUACAUUAGUGAUAGGAUUAAGACAUCAUUUUCAAAGCAUUAAUUAUCAGAGCUUUAAUUAAGUUAAGAUCAUCACGAAAUGAGUCUGUUUUAUGCAGAUUGUUCAUUCCAUUGACAAGCUGGGGAUAUGGCAUCGUCUACCUGUUUUCUUAGGGCUAUUGUAUCUGGCUAUCAGACGUCACCUUCACCAAGAGUACAACCUCUUCAACGUUGGAACAACACCAACUGGGAUUAGGUUCAACCAUUCAGAUUUUCCAUACAGAACAGCUGAUGGAAAAUAUAAUGAUCNUUUCAAUGAAGUUGCUGGCAGCCAAGGAACUUUCUUUGGCAGAAACAUGCUUCCUGUUGAUCAGAAGAAAAAGGUCAACAAUCAUAGCUAGUUAUAAUAAUUUCAUAAAAUAUCAGUGUUUUUACUGCUAUAGUUUGUUGACUUGUUCUUAUAUGAUUUUGAUCCUUUGAGGAUAGUGAAUUUUGAAGGCAUAGUUUUGUGUGUGUGCAGCUAUUGAAGCCUGAUCCAAUGGUGGUAGCAACAAAACUACUAGCUAGAAGGACAUAUAAGGACACAGGGAAGCAAUUCAACGUGAUUGCAGCUUCUUGGAUUCAGUUCAUGAUUCACGAUUGGAUCGAUCAUCUUGAGGAUACCAAACAGGUCAAUCAAUUUCUAAAACCAUGAUGAUGUUUUUUAUUGUGAUAAUAAGAAGGUAUUUAAUUUAAUUUGUUCAUGAAAUUUUGAUACAUAUUUACAUACAUAUAUAUGCAGAUUGAACUGACUGCACCAAAAGAAGUUGCAGGCCAAUGCCCUCUAAAAUCUUUCAAAUUCUUCAAAACUAAGGAAAUUCCCACUGGAUUCUAUGAGAUAAAAACGGGAUCAUCGAACAUUCGAACACCAUGGUGGUAAGAUUUCUACUGCAGUUUACCUCAGCCAAAAGUUAAAGGUUAAUGUUGAUAAGUUUAUUAUUCCUACUUCUUAUACUGAGUUUAUGACUAACAUAAUUUCAGAAAAAACAGUUUUUAAACGAGGAGCAUAUCUCACUUAUAUAUUAUAAAAGUUUUCGAUAUGUACUAAGUAAUGAUACUGACAGAAAAUUAUAAUUUGAAAAAGGAAAGAAAAGAUAACUUAGAUGAAAAAAAUGGCGGCGUAUAUGCAUGUAGAAAAUUCAAUGCGUGGGGGCACGAUAGCGUUUACAUCUAACAAAAUGGCGGCGAAAGAUAUAAGAUAUGUGAUUUGGUUUGAUUUAGGUUGACCUACCUACAUAUUUUUGGCAAUGGGACAUUAUUUUACUAUUUUUGACCGAAGUGUUGCCAAGAUCGGAGUGAAUCUUAACGAGAAUCAAUAAUCUUUCUAAAAUUUUUAAAAAUAAAAAUUCAUGAAAAUUAAAUUAGGUAAAUUUUUAUUUCUUUUAUAAAUUAUGUAAUAAUAAAAUAUAAAAUCAAAUAUAAUAAAUAAUAAAAUUAUUAAGAUUUUUUUUUUUUUAAUUUUCUCUUACCUUUACCUGUUGGUGUUCAUUUCCCACCCUCUCAUGCUUACUUUUUAUCAUAAAGGAAAAAAAAACAGGUUAAAAUUCAUUAUUCUAAAUUAUGGAUUUUUGUUAUGUUUGUAAUAUUCAUCAAAUAUAUAAAUUUUCGUAUAUACCUAAGAAAAACUCGUCGAGUUAAGUCAGAACAAAAUAUAUUUUGAAAUAAAAGAAUGAGUAUAAGAGUGAGUAUGAUUUUUUUUUUUUAAAUAUCAUAUCUUUAUAAAAUUAUUUGAACUUUAGGAUUCAUGUCAUAAAAAUAUAAUGAUAUAAUAAAUUAUAUACCAACAAAAUAAAAACUUAUCUUAAAUAAAUAAUAUUAAUAAUAAUAAUAUGAGAUCUUAUCAAUAAUAAUAUUCAAAUCUACUAGAUUUGUCAUGAUUAUAAGAAAUAUUAGUUUUAGUAAAAGUAAUAUCACACUCAUAUUUAUUUGACACAUUUAAUUUGAGUAAAUUGAUCUUAAAAAAGUGAAUUUUUGUAAUUUAAAAAAAAAUAAAAAUAAAAGGUAAGAAAAAGUAGUAUGAAAUGAAUGUAAAAAAAUUAUGUAGGUUAAAGUAUAUUGGACUAAUGUAAAAGUUAAAAGUAGCUGAUAUGAAAGUUAUUGGUAUAUAGUCUCUGAGAGAAGAUGUUUAAGUUGCAUGGAUUUGGUUGGUGAAAUAGGGAUGCAAGUGCUGUGUAUGGAAGCAAUGGAGAAGUUUUACAGAAAGUGAGGACUUUCAAAGAUGGAAAGCUAAAUAUAUCAAAGGAUGGAAACCUUCUGCAUAACGAAAAUGGAACAGCAGUUGCAGGUGACAUCCGCAACAGUUGGGCUGGUGUUUCAACUCUGCAAUCCCUUUUCAUUCAAGAACACAAUGCAGUUUGUGAUUCUCUCAAGGUAUAAUAUUCAUAAAUUAUAUCAUGGAAAAAACAGUAACCAAUCUUAUUUUAAAAACAAACUCAUCAAUUAAAAGAAAAUACUAACAAAAUACCUGUUUUUAAUUGUACUGUUUCAGAAAUAUUACCCUCAUUUGAAUGAUGAAGAACUUUAUCGCCAUGCAAGAUUGGUGAUUUCAGCUGUGAUUGCAAAGGUUCACACCAUUGAUUGGACUGUGGAGCUUCUUAAAACUGAUACUCUACAUGCAGGAAUGCGUGCCAACUGGUAAGCUUCUCGGCACCACACAAUUUUCUGACACAUUUUACAUUAAAAAAUUUAUCUACUGCCUUUUUUUUUUUUCAUUUAUAUUCAAAAUGUAAAAUGAAGUGUUAUUUAUUUCUAUUUAUUUUUUGAAAUUAUUGUUUAAUUUUCAGGUAUGGACUAUUGGGGAAGAAGUUUAAGGAUACAUUUGGACAUGUUGGUGGGUCCAUCUUGGGAGGAUUUGUUGGUAUGAAGAAGCCAGAAAAUCAUGGUGUCACAUACUCUUUAACAGAAGAAUUUGCGAGUGUCUACAGAAUGCA
Molecule: long non-coding RNA, 17517 nt
Filed under: Vigna radiata
Lineage: Eukaryota; Viridiplantae; Streptophyta; Magnoliopsida; Fabales; Fabaceae
Description: long non-coding RNA (VRAD_LNC000037)
Source: RNAcentral